AAGGGUGGCAUGAUUGAGUUUUGGUUGAUAGAGAAAAUCAAUUGAAGUUGGGUACAAAUGUGAAAUUGACAUGGAAAAGUUGUAGCCAUGAAUAAAAUGAUAAAUUUAUUUCAUAGAAGUUGUUAAUUCUGGUGAACAUGGUCCCUGCCUACCAUGAAAUAUAGAUGAAAGGGAGCUUGAUUUUAGGGGAUCACAUUUCUUCAAAGAAAAAAAGCAAGUUUGAACUCAUCUCCAAGGAGUUUAAUUGUUUAUCAUAACAUUGUUGGUGAUA
This 271-nucleotide unclassified non-coding RNA is filed under the name Hevea brasiliensis (rubber tree). The record is from RNAcentral. Lineage: Eukaryota; Viridiplantae; Streptophyta; Magnoliopsida; Malpighiales; Euphorbiaceae.